GCGAUGAAGUCCUUCGGGAUGGAUUAGCGGCGGACGGGUGAGUAACGCGUGAGCAAUCUGCCUUACACAAAGGGAUAGCCUCUGGAAACGGGGAUUAAUACCAUAUGACACUUUCUUGUUGCAUGAUGAGAAAGUCAAAGAUUUAUCGGUGUAAGAUGAGCUCGCGUCUGAUUAGCUAGUUGGUGGGGUAAAGGCCUACCAAGGCGACGAUCAGUAGCCGGCCUGAGAGGGUGAACGGCCACACUGGAACUGAGACACGGUCCAGACUCCUACGGGAGGCAGCAGUGGGGAAUAUUGCACAAUGGGCGCAAGCCUGAUGCAGCGACGCCGCGUGAGCGAAGAAGGUUUUCGGAUCGUAAAGCUCUGUCCUUUGGGAAGAAAAAAUGACGGUACCAAAGGAGGAAGCCCCGGCUAACUACGUGCCAGCAGCCGCGGUAAUACGUAGGGGGCGAGCGUUGUCCGGAUUUACUGGGCGUAAAGGGUGAGUAGGCGGUAACGUGUGUCAGAUGUUUAAUCUAUGGGCUCAACCCAUAUCAGCAUUUGAAACUGCGUAACUUGAGUGCAGGAGAGGUAAGUGGAAUUCCUAGUGUAGCGGUGAAAUGCGUAGAUAUUAGGAGGAACACCAGUGGCGAAGGCGACUUACUGGACUGUUACUGACGCUGAGUCACGAAAGCGUGGGGAGCGAACAGGAUUAGAUACCCUGGUAGUCCACGCUGUAAACGAUGAGUGCUAGGUGUUGGCCGAGAGGUCAGUGCCGGAGUAAACGCAAUAAGCACUCCGCCUGGGGAGUACGGUCGCAAG
RNAcentral lists this ribosomal RNA (801 nucleotides) under uncultured bacterium. RNAcentral describes it as "bacterial SSU rRNA". It matches the Rfam family "Bacterial small subunit ribosomal RNA", at positions 66 to 892 of the family's 1533-position model. The record is from RNAcentral.